This is a long non-coding RNA of Cyprinus carpio (common carp), 884 nucleotides long. RefSeq lists it as uncharacterized. The record is from RefSeq and is a predicted model, not a curated record. The transcript is spliced from 3 exons. NCBI's taxonomy places the organism in Eukaryota, Metazoa, Chordata, Actinopteri, Cypriniformes, Cyprinidae.
ACAGGUAAAACCAUGAAUGGCUCUUCACUACACAGUAAGAAAAAAAACUUAUAAUAAUAAAAAGUAUGGUAUUCAUGAAAAACAGUAACCUAAACACAUUUAGUAUGGAGAUAAAUGCAAAAAUUACCGUAGCUUCAUAACGAACAAUAAUUCUGUUAUUAUAUUCCAUUAUUUCUGUAACAGUUAAUACAGGCUUGAGCCCUGAUUCACUGUGGAUGUCUGAUGGCAAGUUGGAUGGAGUGAUUUUUACAAUGGCAACUCACAGACUUAACACGCUCCAACUCACGCGGACACCUUGUUGUAAAACGCUUGUUUAAUAUAUUGCUUCUCCACACAAAUCCACUUUUCCUUAAUUCUGCUGCACCAGCUGUGGAAACCUGACCUGGUGAGGACCCUCUCCUCCAUCCUCAACCAUUGAACCUCUUAUCACACUCGGACGAGGACAAACCAGCCUGUGAUCUAGACUCCUAGAUCCAACCCUGGUCCACGAUCAUUCCCACACCUGUGUCUCAUCACAGUCCAUCACCUGUGUCUGCACCCUGCCUACUGCUAAUAUUAUGGAUUUCUGUUCUGGAGAGAUAUGCCAUUCACAACAAUCUCUACAUAAUAUCAAGCUCAAAUAAUUUAGUCCUGCCUAACAGUUUUCCUGAUUUGUUACUGUUCACAAUGUAGCACAGUCUCGUCUUUGUGCAUUCAGUUGUUAAAAUAUGUCCUUAUUAUUUGAUUGUAUCUCAAGUUUAUUAUUUAAAAGCAAAUUCACAAUCUUUCACGAGAAGAGAUAAUAGGUGUGUCUGACUUGAAGCAGUGCUGUGCAGACCGAUCGAAGUAUGACAUCACAGUACCACGAGAGCAAUAAGACUGUAAGACAGCUUCUUAUGCUUUUG